AUCUGUUCUUAUCAGUUUAAUAUCUGAUAGUCCCUUAUAUGGGGGCCACAUAUUAAAUUGAUUUUUGGGACAGGGAGUUGGACUAGGGGCUUGCUCUGUCCACUCCAAGCAUCAACCUGGUAUUGCAGUACAUCUGGGAAUGGUGC
Molecule: small nuclear RNA, 146 nt
Filed under: Gambusia affinis (western mosquitofish)
Lineage: Eukaryota; Metazoa; Chordata; Actinopteri; Cyprinodontiformes; Poeciliidae
Description: U2 spliceosomal RNA (ENSGAFG00000014218.1)
Rfam family: U2 spliceosomal RNA
About the family: U2 is a small nuclear RNA (snRNA) component of the spliceosome (involved in pre-mRNA splicing). Complementary binding between U2 snRNA (in an area lying towards the 5' end but 3' to hairpin I) and the branchpoint sequence (BPS) of the intron results the bulging out of an unpaired adenosine, on the BPS, which initiates a nucleophilic attack at the intronic 5' splice site, thus starting the first of two transesterification reactions that mediate splicing.
Source: RNAcentral